RNAcentral lists this ribosomal RNA (253 nucleotides) under uncultured bacterium. Its description in RNAcentral is "partial 16S ribosomal RNA". It matches the Rfam family "Bacterial small subunit ribosomal RNA", at positions 524 to 776 of the family's 1533-position model. The record is from RNAcentral.
UACGGAGGGUGCAAGCGUUAUCCGGAUUCACUGGGUUUAAAGGGUGCGUAGGUGGGUUGGUAAGUCAGUGGUGAAAUCCCCAAGCUUAACUUGGGAACUGCCAUUGAUACUAUCAGUCUUGAAUACCGUGGAGGUUAGUGGAAUAUGUCAUGUAGCGGUGAAAUGCUUAGAUAUGACAUAGAACACCAAUUGCGAAGGCAACUGACUACACGAGUAUUGACACUGAGGCACGAAAGCGUGGGGAUCAAACAGG